GGGUCUUUAGCUCAGUUGGUUAGAGCGCUUCCUUGACAUGGAAGAGGUCGCUGGUUCGAAUCCAGUAGGACCCA
Molecule: transfer RNA, 74 nt
Filed under: Bacteroidota bacterium
Lineage: Bacteria; Pseudomonadati; Bacteroidota
Also listed under: 2 other names
Description: tRNA-Val
Rfam family: tRNA
About the family: Transfer RNA (tRNA) molecules are approximately 80 nucleotides in length. Their secondary structure includes four short double-helical elements and three loops (D, anti-codon, and T loops). Further hydrogen bonds mediate the characteristic L-shaped molecular structure. tRNAs have two regions of fundamental functional importance: the anti-codon, which is responsible for specific mRNA codon recognition, and the 3' end, to which the tRNAs corresponding amino acid is attached (by aminoacyl-tRNA synthetases). tRNAs cope with the degeneracy of the genetic code in two manners: having more than one tRNA (with a specific anti-codon) for a particular amino acid; and 'wobble' base-pairing, i.e. permitting non-standard base-pairing at the 3rd anti-codon position.
Source: RNAcentral